Molecule: long non-coding RNA, 1126 nt
Filed under: Homo sapiens (human)
Lineage: Eukaryota; Metazoa; Chordata; Mammalia; Primates; Hominidae
Description: HSALNT0191722
Source: RNAcentral
AAAGCUUCUAUCCACAUAACAGGCAGAUUGUCCAGAUGUCCCACGCAAGGGCCUGGAAGAGAUGAGGUUGCAGGCAGACCAAGGAGAAGGUGGAGGAAGGGAGGGGAGGAAGUACUGAAACAGAGCUCUUAGAAAGAUGUUCACUGCUGGGCAACACCAUCACCUCCUCUAGAAGGCAUGGAUAGCACCAAUUGAAUACAAGGAUGUGGUCAACUAUACUGUUCUUACCGUUGAAAAAGAAGUGCUGAGGCCAGGCAUGGUGGCUCACACCUGUAAUCCCAGCACUUUGGGAUGCCGAGGCAGCUGGAUCACUUGUGGUCAAGAGUUCAAGACCAGAUUGGGCGACAUGAUGAAACCCCGUCUCUACUACAAAUACGAAAAUUAGCCAUUGUGGUGGCACACGCCUGUAAUCCCAGCUACUCAGGAGGCUGAUGUGGGAGAACUGAACCCUGGAGGUGGAGAUUGCAGUGAGCCAAGAUGGCGCUACUGUGCUCCAGCCUGGGCAACAAAGCAACACUAUGUUUUAAAUAAAUAAAUAAGUGCUGAGAUCUCAGAAAAUACAAUGCCUAGCUUCAGAAUACCAUAUAUUAUAUAUUCAUAUGGCUAUAAUGAUUCCCCACCUGUUUAUCUGUCCUAAUGCAAGGAGCUUCCUUUCAUAGUGAUGCCAGGCACUGCUCUAAGUAAUUUUAUGUAUCCUAACUUAUUAAAUCUCCUCAACCACCCUAAAAUAAGUACCUUUAUAAACUCCAUUUUACAGAAAAGGAAACAACUGAGUUUCCAAGAGUUUAAGUAAUUCAAGAUCUACACAGCUAAUAAUUGUGAAACUGGGACUUGAACCCGUGUACUAUGACUCUCAAAUCCUGGCUCUUACCAAUCCUGGGCUACCACCUACUACACACAUUUAUUUCACACCGUGUCCCUGAAGUCCCCUCAGCAUGAUAGUAAUUUGUCUUCUCACAUUUUUUCUUUAAAAAAAAAAACAAAACAAAAAAACUAGAGUAGUAAAGCUGUCAAUGCAUGACUAUGCUAAGGCAUAAGGGAUACAAAAAAAUGCCUUCAAGUUUCCUAUUUUAAAGUCUUUUGAGAUUUAAAGGCUUUUAGAUGCCAGUGGAGAUUGUAAGAAUAA